CUCCCCGAGCCCCCUUCAUUAUUUCUGUUAUCACAAGGCAGCCUCCGUGCCCAAACGCCGGCAUGUGCGAGGCAAACAGAGCGCGAUUGUUCCGAGCCUGGGAACGCGCGGAGGGGGCGCGGAGGGGGCGCGGGGGCCGCCGCCCGCCGCCCCCCGCCCGGGCCCGCUCAGACGCGAUUGUGAUGGAAAUCGCCUUCCCGCAUGCUGUUGAACUUGAUGUUGACUCCUUUUCUUUGGGGCUCCACGUCUCCCCGGCCACUUGUUUGUGGGAAAAUUUUCUGCCGGGCUCCAGUGUGAAAUUAAUUAAUCAGGGCCUCGAGAUGGCAAUGGGACACAAAAGGGGACAGCCGGGGGAAACUCCGGCAAACUCACAAAAGCCACCCGGGGUUUAUAGCCCCCGGGGCUGCCCGGACCGACUGCCCUGCCCUGCCCGCUGCCCGAGGUGAGCUCGGCCCAGAGGCUGCGCCGGGGGACUCUGCCCGCCCGCCGAGGAGAGGAGAAAUCCCUGCAUCACUUCAAUCAACGUGGUUUUGGCAGCACCCACCAAAGGGGAUGGGGACAGGGACGGGGCGAAGCCAUGCCAGCGCGGGGGAGCAGCCAGGGCAGCAGGGAGACGACCACCACGCAGCACCCGAACCCUGGAAAUCAAAGGAACUCCACCAGGACCUGGUGUUAGGACUGAGCUUUCCAGCCCGGAGGAGGCUGCUCCUGCCGUGGGUUUGCAGCGGCAAAGUUGUGCCUGGCUCUCGGGGCUGGGCUGGGGUGGUGGCAUCCCUCCUCCACAAGCACGACACGUGCGGAGCUGAGCACGGGAAGUUACCUGCGCUCCCCCAAGGAUGCUCAAGACCCCAUCGCCCCUUGUGGAUGGGGAAGGGGGCUCUGCCAGCUGCACCCCACGGGCAGGGCGCCGGGACCCCCACCGGCGACUCGUGGGGACGAGGACACGGGUGAAGACGUGCCACCGCGUUCCCCGGGGACAGCGUGAGGGUCAGCCUCUUCGCAAGCGACCCGUCGUGAAGCACAGCUCUCGGUGAGGAAUUUUGGAGCAGGGACCCAGCUUUCGGCACGGCUCGGGGGGGGCUUAAAAUUUGCCGAAAAACACCAGGAACGGUUCAGGCAGCGAGGCAGGGGGGUGGUGGCACUGUCACCUCCUGGGCACCCAUGUCCUUGCUGUAGUAGGACCUUGGCAGUGCCCAUCCCGGGCUCACACCAGUUUCUCCCAUUAACAGGUG
This 1232-nucleotide long non-coding RNA is filed under the name Anser cygnoides (Swan goose). Its description in RNAcentral is "lncRNA (ENSACDG00005017991.1)". Lineage: Eukaryota; Metazoa; Chordata; Aves; Anseriformes; Anatidae. The record is from RNAcentral.